UACGUAGGGUGCAAGCGUUGUCCGGAAUUAUUGGGCGUAAAGAGCUCGUAGGCGGUUUGUCGCGUCUGCUGUGAAAACCCGAGGCUCAACCUCGGGCCUGCAGUGGGUACGGGCAAACUAGAGUGCGGUAGGGGAGAAUGGAAUUCCUGGUGUAGCGGUGGAAUGCGCAGAUAUCAGGAGGAACACCGAUGGCGAAGGCAGUUCUCUGGGCCUGUACUGACGCUGAGGAGCGAAAGCGUGGGGAGCGAACAGG
RNAcentral lists this ribosomal RNA (253 nucleotides) under uncultured bacterium. RNAcentral's name for it is "partial 16S ribosomal RNA". It matches the Rfam family "Bacterial small subunit ribosomal RNA", at positions 524 to 776 of the family's 1533-position model. The record is from RNAcentral.